RNAcentral lists this ribosomal RNA (552 nucleotides) under uncultured archaeon. RNAcentral's name for it is "bacterial SSU rRNA". It matches the Rfam family "Archaeal small subunit ribosomal RNA", at positions 326 to 879 of the family's 1478-position model. The record is from RNAcentral.
CGGGGUGCCCAGGCGCGAAAACUUUACAAUGCUGGCAACAGCGAUAAGGGGACCUCGAGUGCCAGGAUACAAUCUUGGCUGUCGCGAUGCCUAAAAAGCAUUGCAUAGCAAGGGCCGGGCAAGACCGGUGCCAGCCGCCGCGGUAACACCGGCGGCUCGAGUGGUAACCGCUAUUAUUGGGUCUAAAGGGUCUGUAGCCGGCCGGAUAAGUCUUUUGGGAAAUCCAGCUGCUCAACAGUUGGGCUUUCAGAAGAUACUGUUCGGCUCGAGACCGGGAGAGGUGGGAGGUACUUCAGGGGUAGGGGUGAAAUCUUGUAAUCCUUGAAGGACCACCAGUGGCGAAGGCGUCUCACCAGAACGGAUCUGACGGCAAGGGACGAAAGCUAGGGGCACGAACCGGAUUAGAUACCCGGGUAGUCCUAGCCGUAAACGAUACUCGCUAGGUGUCAGCCACGGUGCGACCGUGGUUGGUGCCGUAGGGAAGCCGUGAAGCGAGCCACCUGGGAAGUACGGCCGCAAGGCUGAAACUUAAAGGAAUUGGCGGGGGAGCAC